Molecule: ribosomal RNA, 655 nt
Filed under: uncultured Streptosporangium sp.
Lineage: Bacteria; Bacillati; Actinomycetota; Actinomycetes; Streptosporangiales; Streptosporangiaceae
Description: bacterial SSU rRNA
Rfam family: Bacterial small subunit ribosomal RNA
Source: RNAcentral
UAGAGUUUGAUCCUGGCUCAGGACGAACGCUGGCGGCGUGCUUAACACAUGCAAGUCGAGCGGAAAGGCCCUUCGGGGUACUCGAGCGGCGAACGGGUGAGUAACACGUGAGUAACCUGCCCCUGACUCUGGGAUAAGCCCGGGAAACUGGGUCUAAUACCGGAUACGACACCUCCUGGCAUCUGGUGGGUGUGGAAAGUUUUUCGGUUGGGGAUGGACUCGCGGCCUAUCAGCUUGUUGGUGGGGUAAUGGCCUACCAAGGCGACGACGGGUAGCCGGCCUGAGAGGGCGACCGGCCACACUGGGACUGAGACACGGCCCAGACUCCUACGGGAGGCAGCAGUGGGGAAUAUUGCGCAAUGGGCGAAAGCCUGACGCAGCGACGCCGCGUGGGGGAUGACGGCCUUCGGGUUGUAAACCUCUUUCAGCAGGGACGAAGUUGACGUGUACCUGCAGAAGAAGCGCCGGCUAACUACGUGCCAGCAGCCGCGGUAAUACGUAGGGCGCAAGCGUUGUCCGGAAUUAUUGGGCGUAAAGAGCUCGUAGGUGGCUUGUCACGUCGGGUGUGAAAGCUUGGGGCUUAACUCCAGGUCUGCAUUCGAUACGGGCUGGCUAGAGGUAGGUAGGGGAGAACGGAAUUCCUGGUGUAGCGGUG